Molecule: ribosomal RNA, 2757 nt
Filed under: Candidatus Nesciobacter abundans
Lineage: Bacteria; Pseudomonadati; Pseudomonadota; Alphaproteobacteria; Holosporales; Holosporaceae
Description: 23S ribosomal RNA
Rfam family: Bacterial large subunit ribosomal RNA
Source: RNAcentral
AGAAUCAAACGCGUAAGGGUGUUUGGUGGAUGCCUUGGCAUUAAGAGGCGAUGAAGGACGUGAUAGGCUGCGAUAAGCUACGGGGAGGUGCCAAUAACCUUUGAUCCGUAGAUCUCCGAAUGGGGGAACCCGUUCUUUAAGAACAUUGCAAUUUGAAUUCAUAGAAUUGCAAAGCGAACCUGGUGAACUGAAACAUCUAAGUAGCCAGAGGAAAGGAAAUCAAAGAUACUCUGUUAGUAGCGGCGAGCGAAACCAGAUCAGUCCAGUUACUCCUUUUAAUCUAAUACUAGAAUAUUUUGGAAUAUAUAACUAUAAAGGGUUAAAGUCCCGUAUAGGAAGAGAUUAAAGAAUGUUUUUACAUGGAGUACAUGAGUAGGGCAGGACACGUGUUAUCUUGUCUGAAUAUAGGGAGACCACUCUCUAAGACUAAGUACUACUUAAUGACCGAUAGUGAACAAGUACCGUGAGGGAAAGGUGAAAAGAACCCCGGGAGGGGAGUGAAAUAGAACUGAAACCAAAUACUUACAAGCAGUCGAAGCAGCUUUAAGCUGUGACGGCGUACCUUUUGCAUAAUGAGCCAGCGAGUUUAUCUGUUUAGCAAGCUUAAGUCGUUAGACGUAGGCAUAGCGAAAGCGAGUUUUAAAUGAGCGUAUAGUUGAACGGAUAAGACCCGAAACCGAGUGAUCUAGUCAUGAUCAGGUUGAAGGAAAGUUAACCCUUUCUGGAGGACCGAACCAUAUCACGUUGCAAUGUGUGUGGAUGAAUUGUGACUAGGGGUGAAAGGCUAAUCAAACUCGGAAAUAGCUGGUUCUCCGCGAAAUCUAUUGAGGUAGAGCGUUAUUUUAAUUUUACAGGGGUAGAGCUCUGAAUAGGCUAGGGGGGAUAGUAUCCUUACCAAACCUAAUCAAACUACGAAUACUGUAAAAUCAUAUAAUAACAGACAGACUCUGGGUGCUAAGAUCCAGGGUCGAGAGGGAAAGAGCCCAGACCAUCAUCUAAGGUCCCUAAGUAUAACUAAGUGAAAAGAAGGAAGUGAUUAGACCAAGACAGUCAGGAGGUUGGCUUAGAAGCAGCCAUCCUUUAAAGAAAGCGUAAUAGCUCACUGAUCUAAAAGUUUUUUUGCACCGAAAAUGUAGCGGGUCUAAGUUAUACACCGAAGAUAUGGGUGACAUAUUAUAUGUCACGGUAGCGGAGCGUUCUGUAAGUCUAUGAAGGUGAAGUGUGAGCUUCGCUGGAGAUAUCAGAAGUGAGAAAGCUGGCAUGAGUAGCAUAAAGAAGUGUGAAAAACACUUCCGCCGGAAGUCCAAGGUUUCCUACGCAAGGGUUAUCCGCGUAGGGUUAGUCGGCCCCUAAGGCGAGGACAAGAGUCGUAGUCGAUGGGAAACAGGUUAAUAUUCCUGUACCUGCUUUUAGUGACGGAGAUGAAGAUAUGUUUAAUCUUAUUGGAUUGAUUAAGCUUAUUUAUUCUUCCAGGAAAUAGCUAAAGCAUUAUAGACCGUACCCUAAACCGAAUCAGGUGGACAGGUAGAGUAUACUAAGGCGUUUGAGAGAAUGGUGUUGAAGGAACUCGGCAAAUUGAUCUCGUAACUUCGGAAUAAGAGAUGCCUAGUCUGGCGAAAGCUAAACUAGGUGGCACAUAAGAGGGAGUGGCGACUGUUUAUCUAAAACACAGGGCUCUGCAAAGAUGAAAGUCUAAGUAUAGGGUCUGACGCCUGCCCGGUGCUGGAAGGUUAAUAUGAUUUGUGCAAGCAUUGAUUAGAAGCCCCAGUAAACGGCGGCCGUAACCAUGACGGUCCUAAGGUAGCGAAAUUCCUUGUCAGGUAAAUUCUGACCUGCAUGAAUGGCGUAACGACUGCUCCGCUGUCUCCAACACCAACUCAGUGAAGUUGAAUUCUCCGUGAAAAUGCGGAGUACCCACAGUUAGACGGAUAGACCCCGUGCACCUUUACUAUAGCUUUACAUUGAUACGACGAUUGUUUCAUGUAGGAUAGGCGGGAGCUUUUGAUAUACAGGCGCUAGCUUGUAUGGAGGCACCCUUGAAAUACCGCCUUUGACAAUUGUUUUAUCUAACCAAAUCUGUGAUCCAGGUUUGAGAAAAUGUAUGGUGGGUAGUUUGACUGGGGCGGUCGCCUCCUAAAGAGUAACGGAGGCGUACAAAGGUAGGUUCAGGUUGUUUGGAAAGCAACUGUUGAGUGCAAUGGCAAAAACCUGCUUAACUGCGAGACAUACAAGUCGAGCAGAGACGAAAGUCGGUCAUAGUGACCCGGUGGUUCUGAGUGGAAGGGCCAUCGAUCAACGGAUAAAAGGUACGCCGGGGAUAACAGGCUAAUCUCUCCCAAGAGGUCAUAUCGACGGGGAGGUUUGGCACCUCGAUGUCGGCUCAUCACAUCCUGGGGCUGAAGAAGGUCCCAAGGGUUUGGCUGUUCGCCAAUUAAAGUGGUACGCGAGCUGGGUUCAGAACGUCGUGAGACAGUUCGGUCCCUAUCUGCUGUGGGCGUGUGGAAAAUUGAAAGGAGCUGCUUCUAGUACGAAAGGACCGAAGUGGACAUACCUCUGGUGUGCCAGUUGUUCUGCCAAGAGCAAUGCUGGGUAGCUACAGUAUGGAACAGAUAACCGCUGAAAGCAUAUAAGCGGGAAGCUGACCUUAAGAUUAGUUUUCCUUAAGGAUCGUGAUAGAACAUCACGUUGAUAGGUUGGGUGUGUAAGUCAAGUAAUUGAUUAAGCUGACCAAUACUAAUAUCCGUUAAGUUUGAUUCU